UAGAGACAUGUAAUACACAGGGGCAUCAUUGUUUAUUAUCAACUUUUGAAGGACAUUGGAAACUGUAGGUAGCAUCCCUCUCACAUACCUCACAUAACACUGUAGAGUUCAAGAAAGCUAAGACAUGUCUAGCAAUGGGGUGAGUACUUUUGCUUAAAAUUCUCCCAUGUUAGUGGGAUGCCUUGGUUCCUGCUUGGAAGGGGGGAUCGGUGAGGAAGAAGCACCCCGCAGGACACGGUUCCCGCUUGGAAGGGGGGGUGGGGGACGGACAGAGCACACCGCAGGGCAGGUUUCCCGCUUGGAAGGGGGGGUGGGGGACGGACAGAGCACACCGCAGGGCAGGUUUCCCGCUUGGAAGGGGGGGUGGGGGACGGACAGAGCACACCGCAGGGCAGGUUUCCCGCUUGGAAGGGGGGGUGGGGGACGGACAGAGCACACCGCAGGGCAGGUUUCACGCUUGGAAGGGGGGAUCGGUGAGGAAGAAGCACCCCGCAGGACAUGGUUCCCGCUUGGAAGGGGGGGUGGGGGACGGACAGAGCACACCGCAGGGCAGGUUUCCCGCUUGGAAGGGGGGGUGGGGGACGGACAGAGCACACCGCAGGGCAGGUUUCCCGCUUGGAAGGGGGGGUGGGGGACGGACAGAGCACACCGCAGGGCAGGUUUCCCGCUUGGAAGGGGGGGUGGGGGACGGACAGAGCACACCGCAGGGCAGGUUUCCCGCUUGGAAGGGGGGGUGGGGGACGGACAGAGCACACCGCAGGGCAGGUUUCACGCUUGGAAGGGGGGAUCGGUGAGGAAGAAGCACCCCGCAGGACACGGUUCCCGCUUGGAAGGGGGGGUGGGGGACGGACAGAGCACACCGCAGGGCAGGUUUCACGCUUGGAAGGGGGGGUGGGGGACGGACAGAGCACACCGCAGGGCAGGUUUCACGCUUG
Gopherus flavomarginatus (Mexican gopher tortoise) is the source of this 935-nucleotide long non-coding RNA. RefSeq lists it as uncharacterized. Lineage: Eukaryota; Metazoa; Chordata; Testudines; Testudinidae. The transcript is spliced from 3 exons. The record is from RefSeq and is a predicted model, not a curated record.